RNAcentral lists this ribosomal RNA (391 nucleotides) under uncultured eukaryote. RNAcentral describes it as "SSU rRNA". It matches the Rfam family "Eukaryotic small subunit ribosomal RNA", at positions 592 to 976 of the family's 1831-position model. The record is from RNAcentral.
CAAGAGCAUAUAUUAAAGUUGUUGCAGUUAAAAAGCUCGUAGUUGGAUUUCUGGUAUAAUGCGCCUGGCCCGCGGCUAUUUAAGCCUGUGAGUGCCGGUGUGCGUUUGCCAUCCUUCUAGAAAACGUUUCUACCCUUCACUGGGCCGGACUCGCGAUCUAGAUCUUUUACUUUGAAAAAAUUAGAGUGUUUAAAGCAGGCUUUUGCUAUGAAUACAUUAGCAUGGAAUAAUAAUCUAGGACUUCGGUUCUAUUUUGUUGGUUUCUAGAUCUGAAGUAAUGAUUGAUAGGGAGUAGUUGGGGGUGGCUAGUAUUAAGGGGCCAGAGGUGAAAUUCUUGGAUUCUCUUAAGACUAACUUAUGCGAAAGCAUUCACCAAGGAUGUCUUCUUUAA